Molecule: long non-coding RNA, 1086 nt
Filed under: Zalophus californianus (California sea lion)
Lineage: Eukaryota; Metazoa; Chordata; Mammalia; Carnivora; Otariidae
Description: lncRNA (ENSZCAG00015013463.1)
Source: RNAcentral
GCAACAGGCCCAGAUAAAAUGUGAGUUUUAACCUUAACUCUCACGGAGUGUGCUGAGUUUUAAAUGUUAAUAAUGACAGAAAAGUUGACAUGAGAGUCACAGCCCUCUCUCCUACACACUUUUUUAUGACAAACCUUGUGUCCAAGGAUAUAACAGAACAUUUCAUUUCUCUUAUCAAAGCCAGGUUAUCUUUACAACACUCCUGAGAUAUGACGGCAUCCUGAGGAGCCAGGGGAAGGGGGGGGGGGGGGGGCGGAGUCCCUCACGCUUCCCUACAUGGCCCUGGUCAGCAUCUUGGCACCACCACUGCGGAGUUACUAGAAACUGGAGUUAAGACUGUGGGCAAUGGUACAACAGCCUAAUGCCCAUGUCUCGGGAACUGUGUGUUUGGGCCUUCGUGACCUUGCAUUUGCCCUUGCCGUGCUUGGGGGGUAGGUCUUACUAAGUUCAUCUCCCACAUGAGAAUACUGGAGCUCCCAGGGGUUCUGUGACUCGCUGCAGGUCACAAAGCUGGGGCCUGGAUUCUGAUUCACAGGUGUCUGGCUUCCCCUGCACCACAUGAAGAAAGGCAUCCCAUUUCCCAAUCACACUCUCUAGCCCAGGGUUGGGACUGAGCAGGGCAGCACCCCACAGAUGCUCCAGGGCAACACAAGUCGGCAUUGACAACAACAAGGAUAAUCAAGAACCCUCCAAACCACAUCUACCUACAACCAGCCAGGAAGCAGAUAGCUGGUCCGUAACCUGCAUUUUCUCAAUCCUGUUUUUGGAGGAGACUUCACAACACAUACUCAACACAGAAGGGUCCCCUUAUCUCUGAAGGAACGCGAAUCAUUACAGCGGACGACAUACUUGGCACCAUAUACUUCACACUCGGGACUUACAAGUCACUGCUUACUUAACAGGGGCAAAAGCUCCCUGUAAGCCUGUAUGCAGAUUAAGGAGCCCCAAGUUAGGCACAGGACCGAAGACUGCACCUGACAGUAGAAAGCCACAACUUCCUUCUUGUAAAUUCUUCUGACUUUGAAAAGUAUUGAUUGCAUCAUCCUCAGGAUCAAUCUACUCCUACACAGUUGCCUCCAAGACCUC